RNAcentral lists this unclassified non-coding RNA (100 nucleotides) under Segatella oulorum. RNAcentral describes it as "Prevotella oulorum Y RNA". Lineage: Bacteria; Pseudomonadati; Bacteroidota; Bacteroidia; Bacteroidales; Prevotellaceae. The record is from RNAcentral.
GGCCAAUCCCGGUGGAAAUGGCUCUAUGAUGAAUAUAGAAGAGAGUGCCAACUGUUAUCUCAUCUCUGCUCCCGGCCAUUAUUGCAUCCCAUUGGUUUAU